RNAcentral lists this non-coding RNA (24 nucleotides) under Arabidopsis thaliana (thale cress). Lineage: Eukaryota; Viridiplantae; Streptophyta; Magnoliopsida; Brassicales; Brassicaceae. The record is from RNAcentral.
CUUAUUUACAAUGGUUACCACUGA